CACCUUCUCACACAGACUCUUGACCUGGGACUCCGAGAGUUGCUUGCACUCAUUGAGCUGCUCGAUCCACUGGUCCAGCUCCUUGGUGAAGACCUU
MicroRNA precursor from Vombatus ursinus (common wombat), 96 nucleotides. Lineage: Eukaryota; Metazoa; Chordata; Mammalia; Diprotodontia; Vombatidae. The record is from Ensembl.